Molecule: ribosomal RNA, 496 nt
Filed under: uncultured bacterium
Lineage: Bacteria
Description: partial 16S ribosomal RNA
Rfam family: Bacterial small subunit ribosomal RNA
Source: RNAcentral
AUGCACGCUGGCGGCGUGCCUAAUACAUGCAAGUCGAGCGAACAGAUAAGGAGCUUGCUCCUUUGACGUUAGCGGCGGACGGGUGAGUAACACGUGGGUAACCUACCUAUAAGACUGGGAUAACUUCGGGAAACCGGAGCUAAUACCGGAUAAUAUUUCGAACCGCAUGGUUCGAUAGUGAAAGAUGGUUUUGCUAGCACUUAUAGAUGGACCCGCGCCGUAUUAGCUAGUUGGUAAGGUAACGGCUUACCAAGGCGACGAUACGUAGCCGACCUGAGAGGGUGAUCGGCCACACUGGAACUGAGACACGGUCCAGACUCCUACGGGAGGCAGCAGUAGGGAAUCUUCCGCAAUGGGCGAAAGCCUGACGGAGCAACGCCGCGUGAGUGAUGAAGGUCUUCGGAUCGUAAAACUCUGUUAUUAGGGAAGAACAUACGUGUAAGUAACUGUGCACGUCUUGACGGUACCUAAUCAGAAAGCCACGGCUAACUACGUG